Molecule: long non-coding RNA, 1519 nt
Filed under: Sus scrofa (pig)
Lineage: Eukaryota; Metazoa; Chordata; Mammalia; Artiodactyla; Suidae
Description: lncRNA (ENSSSCG00030058717.1)
Source: RNAcentral
CCAGCUUAAAAAAAUUUUUUUUUUUUUAAUUCUCCACUGGGGCUGUACCUAAGAUGUGGGUUUCCUGAGACUGGAGAAAUUAGAUCUUAAAACCGCCCCAAGAGAGGCUGGGGAGGGGGCGGGGAAGACCAGAGAAAGGGAUUUAGUGGCAGAGGCCCUGUGACCUCACCUCAUCCAGCGGAUUUCCUCUCCUCUUAGCUUAGAGGGACCCUGCUAUAUUCUUCCUGAAUUCGGUUUGGAAGAGAGAAAUGUGUUUUCUUGAGUGAGGAAUGUCCUGUGGGUGGAAUGCAGGCUGCUUUGUUCUCAGCUUGGGCUCCAGGAUGAAACAGGAUCUGGAGAUAGCUCUGUUUGAACUGAGAUGACAUUAGCGGUGCCCAGGGAGGAGGUGUCCGAGCAUCCUGGAACCUGGACAAGUGUUGUCCUCAGUUGAGGGUGGACUGGGCAAAUGAGCAAGCUGAGGAAAGCUGUUUUGGGGUUUUUAUUUUAUUUUUAAUUUUUUUUUGUCUUUUAUCCUUUUAGAGCCACACCUGCGGCACAUGGAGGUUCCCAGGCUAGGGGUCCAAUCGGAGCUGUAGCCACCGGCCUGUGCCACAGUCACAGCAAUGCCAGAUCCGAGCUACAUCUGUGACCUAUACCACAGCUCAUGGCAACGCUGGAUCCUUAACCCUCUGAGCCAGGUCAGGGAUCAAACCUGAGUCCUCAUGGAUGCUAGUCUGGUUCAUUAACCACUGAGCCAUGACGGGAACUCCCCAGCUAAUUAUAUUUUGCAUUUGUUAACAUUAAAAGUAAUUUGCAGUUGCAAACAUGCACUAAUUGAUGGUAUAGUUGUGAGAGUAGGAAGGAAAAUGUUCCAGAAGCUUUUUAAUGGAUGGGAAACCACCUUUGAAUGGCAGCUUGUCCAAACCUGGAUAAUUCAAGAUUGACGUGAAAAAGUUAGCCCUUGGAAGAGAGACUUAUAGUUGUUUUUGAUGUGGGUUUACAUGGAUUGAACGGUGUCCUCUAAAAUUUAUGAAUCAUGUAGGAUAUUCCUGAAAAACAUUGAGUCAAAGGGGGUGAAUCCUGUCCUCUGACUCUAGCAUGACCAGGUAUUUCUAGCACUGUUGCUAAAAUGACCUGGAAACAAAAGGCUAUAGAGAAAGAAUGCUUUGCCCUUAUAAAGUGGCUUUGAGUCUAAAAGAGUAGAGUAUGACUCCAGUAAAUUCAAGCAUAAUUUUUUUGGUAUGUGGCAUGUAAAGAUUUGGCACAUGUUUGGUAAACUCGCAAGUCUGUGGAAACCCAAACAGAGAGUGACGUGUACACAGGGUAACGUGUAUGGUCGGACCUCCCGCUGUGGCACAGUGGGUUGAGAAUCUGACUGCAGUGGCUUGGGUCACGGAGGAGGCCGGAGUUCCAUCCCUGGCCUGGUGCAGUGGGUUAAAGAAUCCAGCGUGAGUUGCAGCUGUGGCUUGGAUUCAGUUCUUGGCCCAGGAACUUCCAUAUGUCGUGGGUGCAGCCAUUAAAAAAAAAAAAAAAAAAAAAA